GGGAAGGCGGCCUGUAGAAAAGGAGGCAGCCACUGAAUGUCAGUCUAUAGUGACAUGGGCCAUGCCUCAGCUGACAGAUAGAUCAAAGCUUCCAAACAUUGUUGAUCCUGUCAUACAAAACACAAUGGAUUUAAAGCAUUUGUAUCAGGUUGCUGCAGUUGCUCUAUUAUGUGUUCAGCCAGAGCCAAGCUAUCGUCCCCUAAUAACCGAUGUAUUACAUUCCUUAAUUCCCCUUCUUCCCACACAAUUAGGUGGGACGCUACCGCCUUCUUACUGCUGAUCCAUUCCAAUUAUGUAUGCUCUCGCCUUACACAUUUUUGGCUAUUUUUUAUUUAUAAUACAACCGUCCUAUUAACCAUGUGUUAGGUAUAAAUAAUUGUCAUAUAUU
This 388-nucleotide unclassified non-coding RNA is filed under the name Hevea brasiliensis (rubber tree). Lineage: Eukaryota; Viridiplantae; Streptophyta; Magnoliopsida; Malpighiales; Euphorbiaceae. The record is from RNAcentral.